CGGGGUGAGUAACGCGUAGGAACCUAUCGCACAGUGGGGGAUAACACUGGGAAACCGGUGCUAAUACCGCAUGUGGUCAGCGAUGAAGAAAGCAGCAAUGCGCUGUGUGAGGGGCCUGCGUCCGAUUAGCUAGUUGGUGGGGUAAGGGCCUACCAAGGCGACGAUCGGUAGCUGGUCUGAGAGGAUGGUCAGCCACACUGGGACUGAGACACGGCCCAG
This 219-nucleotide ribosomal RNA is filed under the name uncultured bacterium. Its description in RNAcentral is "partial 16S ribosomal RNA". It matches the Rfam family "Bacterial small subunit ribosomal RNA", at positions 104 to 334 of the family's 1533-position model. The record is from RNAcentral.